GGCAAAUCACUAGCACAAACUGUGACAAGAAAAUGUCUUCAAAAUUGAUCGUUUUGUUAGUUGUUUUCUCCCUCCAAUGCCUCUUGGCAUUGGCUUCAGACCCAGACCCAGUUCAAGAUUUUUGCAUACCCAACCCUAAGUAUGGUGCCAUAAGAACUGCUAGGUUCACUAUCCUCUCAUGCAAAAAUUCCUCUGAAGCAACCACCGAUGAUUUUGUCUUCUCCGGCAUGAAAACCGCUGGCAACUUCUCAGAGACAGGCCUUGCAACCAUUCCUGUGAACCCAGCAAAUUUUCCUGGCCUUAACACACUAGGCAUGUCAUUUGUCCGAGCUGACCUUAAAGUUGGUGCUAUUAAUCCACCACAUUUUCACCCUAGGGCAACCGAGAUCACUCACGUGGUGCAAGGAAGUGUUUAUUUAGGUUUUGUUGAUUCUAACAAUAGGGUUUAUGCUAGAGUUCUUGAGCAAGGAGAGGUCAUGGUUUUCCCUAGAGGCCUAGUGCACUUCCAAAUGAACGUUGGUGAGGAGCCUGCUACAGUUUUUGGAAGUUUCAAUAGCCAAAACCCAGGAAACCAAAAGAUCCCAGCUGCCAUUUUCGGUUCUGGGAUAGAUGAUAAGCUCUUGGAAAAGGCUUUUGGAUUGAGUCCUAAGCAAAUUGAAAUGAUGAGAAGAAGGUUUGAUCCCAAAAGGCUUAGUUGAGGUUGAGGGAUAAAACAUAAGGUUAUUUUGGUCAGCUUCCUAAAUUAUGAAAUCAUGUUCUUUCGUCUGUCCUACAUAUGAAAUCAUGGCCUUUUCUUGGAGUCAAUGGUAGUUUAAAAUAUCAACUGUUGUUUGGUUGUUUUAUGAAUAACUCUAUUUUCUAUAAGCUCCUUUUUUCCUGCUAUCCUUGCACUUGCAGCAUUAAUCCACUCAUACAAGAGUGAUAAUUAACAGUUUUGCUUAUGGCACAUUUGACAUACACAGGUGGCAAAUUUUCAUGGUAUGUUGUGCAUAUAAAGUGACAUGCCAUUGAUUAUACGAACAAAGGAUGUGCAAACUGUAAAGUAAACUUCAUAAAGUAAUCAUGAGGCAAUUUGCCAUCAUAUUUCCCAGUCCCACCACCGUUGCAG
RNAcentral lists this unclassified non-coding RNA (1108 nucleotides) under Hevea brasiliensis (rubber tree). The record is from RNAcentral. Lineage: Eukaryota; Viridiplantae; Streptophyta; Magnoliopsida; Malpighiales; Euphorbiaceae.